Tribolium castaneum (red flour beetle) is the source of this 704-nucleotide long non-coding RNA. RefSeq lists it as uncharacterized. The record is from RefSeq and is a predicted model, not a curated record. The transcript has 2 exons. NCBI's taxonomy places the organism in Eukaryota, Metazoa, Arthropoda, Insecta, Coleoptera, Tenebrionidae.
UAGUGACUCGGUGACUUCAAAUAGUAAAUAAUUAAGCGUGUUAAAUCGGGCAAUAAGCUUGGCUUUGGCUUAAAAGGAAUCGCAAGCAGAUGCGCUUUCUGUAUCUGUUGAUUUCCAGUUCGGUGCACCGCCCGUUGAAAUCGCCCAUCAAAACGGCUCAUAAAUAACUAGAUUGGAGUAUUAAUAUUGUCACUAGCCAAUAUAAACACAAAGGGCUCUCGAUAUUGCACAAUGGUAUUAACAGGACAUAAAUCUGCGUAAGUAGAUAUUCGAAGUCAAUUCGCACUCGUCUUUUGUGCGUCUACCUAUGCUUGCAAACACGGCAAAAUUUGAGAGCACAAACACAAAACAAGGCCACAUGCUUUUGUGCCUUUAUACCAAUAUAUCAUUCCGGGUCGGUCCCCACACCACUGAACUAGAUCGUCCGACCAGAAGCCGGAACUCACUCACUUCUCAUGGUGGUACGAGCUUUGGGGAUGUCUCCACAUUUAUUUUGUACAGGACAAUGAGCAACACAUGAUAAAUUUCAUUAAAGGUGAUCAACGACGCACAAAAAGUCGCACAAACAUCGAAGGGACUUGACGUUUAUGGACGCAUGCAAAAAAUUGUACUGGAAUUUUCUUAUGAAAUUGUCACAAGGGACUGAGAAAUGUACCUAAUAAAGGGCUCAACUUAGUAUUAAAAAUAAUAAAGUAUCAAAUUUU